RNAcentral lists this long non-coding RNA (249 nucleotides) under Trifolium pratense (red clover). RNAcentral's name for it is "long non-coding RNA (TPRA_LNC005779)". Lineage: Eukaryota; Viridiplantae; Streptophyta; Magnoliopsida; Fabales; Fabaceae. The record is from RNAcentral.
GGGGAAUGAUAAGUUUAUAUUAAAUUUUCAUGUGAAAAUCGUAGGUCAUCACACCAAAUUAGUGAAUCACCAAAUUGUCAAUGCCCAGCAAAUAUGUGAAAAUUGUUACAAGCAUGCACAUAUGACUUUCAUGGUUCCAAACAAAAUCCAAAUAUAUGUUUAGUCAAAAAUUGUUGUGCACUCAGAUUACAAAGAAACAUCAGACUAAAGUUUAAACAUAAUAAUAUCACUUAAAACAUAACAGGAAAC